Molecule: long non-coding RNA, 234 nt
Filed under: Jatropha curcas
Lineage: Eukaryota; Viridiplantae; Streptophyta; Magnoliopsida; Malpighiales; Euphorbiaceae
Description: long non-coding RNA (JCUR_LNC000923)
Source: RNAcentral
AUGCCUCCAAUCAUUUUAAGAUAAAAAGACAACAUGAACACAUGUAUAAACACAAAAUGCAAGCAUGCAAAUGAUGUGAAACUAACAUGAUGCAAAUGAUGUGAAACUAACAUGACACAAGUUGCCCGCUUGGCGAGGCUAUCAGCAUACAGGUAAGCAGUAUGGGUUAUGAAAUUAUGAAGCAGUUAAUAUGCUUUUGUUUUAUAUAUUGACAUACCUAUAUUAUGCUCCAUU